This 379-nucleotide unclassified non-coding RNA is filed under the name uncultured Gammaproteobacteria bacterium. RNAcentral describes it as "contains 16S-23S intergenic spacer region". The record is from RNAcentral. Lineage: Bacteria; Pseudomonadati; Pseudomonadota; Gammaproteobacteria.
UCCGGCUCAUCACCAGCAGUCUCCUUAGAGUCCCCACCAUAACGUGUUGGUAACUAAGGACAAGGGUUGCGCUCGUUACGGGACUUAACCCAACAUCUCACAACACGAGCUGACGACAGCCAUGCAGCACCUGUCUCUAAGCUCCUUUCGGCACUCUCACAUCUCUGCAAGAUUCUUAGGAUGUCAAGGGUAGGUAAGGUUCUUCGCGUUGCAUCGAAUUAAACCACAUGCUCCACCGCUUGUGCGGGCCCCCGUCAAUUUCUUUGAGUUUUAAUCUUGCGACCGUACUCCCCAGGCGGAGGACUUAUCGCGUUAGCUUCGAUACCGAUAGGUCUAAGCCUACCAACAUCUAGUCCUCAUAGUUUACAGCGUGGACUAC